CUACGGGGCGCUGCAGUGGGGAAUAUUGCGCAAUGGGCGAAAGCCUGACGCAGCAACGCCGUGUGAGGGAUGAAGGCUUUCGGGUCGUAAACCUCUGUCGGAAGGGAAGAACGGGCAUUGGUCUAAUAGGCCUUUGUUUUGACGGUACCUUUAGAGGAAGCACCGGCUAACUCCGUGCCAGCAGCCGCGGUAAUACGGAGGGUGCAAGCGUUAUUCGGAAUUACUGGGCGUAAAGCGCACGUAGGCGGCCUUGUAAGUCAGGGGUGAAAUCCCACGGCUCAACCGUGGAACUGCCUUUGAAACUGCAGGGCUUGAAUCCUGGAGAGGGUGGCGGAAUUCCUGGUGUAGGAGUGAAAUCCGUAGAUAUCAGGAGGAACACCGGUGGCGAAGGCGGCCACCUGGACAGGUAUUGACGCUGAGGUGCGAAAGUGUGGGGAGCAAACAGGAUUAGAUACCCGGGUAGUC
Molecule: ribosomal RNA, 465 nt
Filed under: uncultured bacterium
Lineage: Bacteria
Description: partial 16S ribosomal RNA
Rfam family: Bacterial small subunit ribosomal RNA
Source: RNAcentral